This 22-nucleotide non-coding RNA is filed under the name Arabidopsis thaliana (thale cress). Lineage: Eukaryota; Viridiplantae; Streptophyta; Magnoliopsida; Brassicales; Brassicaceae. The record is from RNAcentral.
UAUUGUGGGCUUCUUCAUAACA